GAAAUGCGAUAAGUAAUGUGAAUUGCAGAAUUCAUUGAAUCAUCGAAUCUUUGAACGCAGCUUGCGCUCCUUGGUAUUCCUUGGAGCAUGCCUGUUUGAGUAUCAUGAAAUCUUCAAAGUAAAUCUUUUGUUAACUCAAUUGGUUUCUACUUUGGUAUUGGAGGUCUUUGCAGCUUCACACCUGCUCCUCUUUGUUCAUUAGCUGGAUCUCAGUGUUAUGCUUGGUUCCACUCGGCGUGAUAAGUUAUCUAUCGCUGAGGACACUGUAAAAGGUGGCCAAGGUAAAUGCAGAUGAACCGCUUCUAAUAGUCCAUUGACUUGGACAAUACUUUUAUGAUCUGAUCUCAAAUCAGGUAGGACUACCCGCUGAACUUAAGC
RNAcentral lists this unclassified non-coding RNA (378 nucleotides) under plant metagenome. RNAcentral describes it as "partial contains 5.8S ribosomal RNA, internal transcribed spacer 2, and large subunit ribosomal RNA". The stretch from base 1 to 105 matches the Rfam family "5.8S ribosomal RNA", at positions 50 to 154 of the family's 154-position model. The record is from RNAcentral.